This is a non-coding RNA of Pseudomonadales bacterium, 223 nucleotides long. Lineage: Bacteria; Pseudomonadati; Pseudomonadota; Gammaproteobacteria; Pseudomonadales. The record is from Rfam.
AAAGUCCCUGCGAGAAAAGUCAUGGCGAGACACCUCGGCCCCGAGUCAUGCGCCGGUCAUCGCGAGGUGCCCGGUGAAGUGUUGACAGGGGAAACCGACAGGCCAGCCAUCGAGCCGCGAAAUCAUCAGUCUGGAGUGCCGACGUUGUUAAGCGAUGCGGAAGGCAACACGAGACACGGCGACAAUCGCAAGUCGUGUCGCGACUCCACGCGGUCGGAGACCC